UCCAUGUCAGGGCUCACGGCUGCCUGGAA
This 29-nucleotide non-coding RNA is filed under the name Mus musculus (house mouse). Lineage: Eukaryota; Metazoa; Chordata; Mammalia; Rodentia; Muridae. The record is from RNAcentral.